UUAAGGGCUUGAAUGCGGGACUUUUAAUUUAACUGAAGCACAUUGGCAGUUUGGUCAUAAUACUUUCACGUAGUGAAGCUUCAUGAAGCGUUGAAGCUCUCCAUCCAGUCGGUUCACUCUGGCCCGGAGCUUCAUGGCGCUUCAUUUGCUCUACUAUGCCUUCAAGUGGACAAUACAUGUAAAACAGUCAGAGUGAUUAUGAUGACACCUUGACCAGACCCAUGUACUGCAGGGUCAAUAUGGCCGUCCCUGUCCUGGACAGGUUUUUUAAUGAGAGAGACCCCAGGCAGGAUUGCAGGCUAAGCAGAGAGUCACUGGCAGUGCUGCUGAACCUGCUCCAACAGGAUCAGAGACAUGGAUGGGGUGCCACAAUAGAGACCUUGGUGUUCCUUUUCUGGCUGGCUAGUGGGGCAUCAUACAGGGGGGUCUCAAGGGUGUUUGGGAUGCCUCACUCCACUGGCCACCGUAUCGUCCACCGAGUUACUGCAGAGGUGGUGUCCAUUGGCCACAAGGUCUUCCACUUCUCACAGACUGCUGAAGACCUGGUGGCAGUAAUUCAUGGGUUUGCAGGGCUGGCAAGACACAGAGCUUUUUUAAAACCUGCAGGAGCAAUCGGCGGCUGCCAUGUCAGAAACAAGCUACCAAGUGGCCUUGAUGGUCACUGCUACAGGAGUAGGAAAUUGUUUGUCUCCAUCAACCUGCAGGCAGUUUGUGACUAUCAGAGCCAUGUUGUAGACACGUACGUGGGCUGGCUGGGGUUGGUGCACGACUCCCGAGUACUCCUGCACAGCCCACUGUACAGGCGGGCUAUCUAACCUCCUCCAGGGCACUUCAUCCUCGCAGACAGCGGGUACCCAUGCCGCCAACAUUCACUCCCCCUCAUCACUCCCUACAAGCGGCCAGUGCAAGGUGUGGCAGCCCAGCGCUUCAACUGCCACUAUUCAGGGGCACGCACUAUCAUUGAGCGUGCCUUUUGAAUGAUGACGACCAAGAUCAGGUCAUAACAGCAUGUGCCGUCCUGCACAACAUCUGCCUGGGGGCAGGUGACAUCAUGCCCCCAGAAGAUGAGCUGCAGGACGUCAUGCCGGAGGAUGAGGGGGAGGACAGGUUGGAGGCCGCCAGUGGUGCUCCAUGGCAGGACCGGCUGUCUGCGGAGGUGUCUGCCCUGGAGGAGGUUAACCCUGACCACGACUAUCUGUAGUCUGCACUGACAUGGCAGCCGUCAGUUGAGUCAGCCCUGCAAACCCAGUUUAUGGAAGAUGUGGUGGACAGUGGAGACUGGACCCCCAAACACCCUGAGUACCGACCCAGAUGAUGCACCACUGACACCAGGGUCUUAUUGUGGCAUCCCACUCAGCCCAGCAGCACUGCCAGGGACUCCUGCUCAGCCUAUUACUGUACAACUUUGAAAUUCUGUUAAUAGUUUUGAAUAUUAAGACCACUGAUAAUAAAAAGAAAAAAAAAAUCCCUUGUUUCCCUGACUAGUAGCACUUGAUGCCAUUUGCUAACCCU
Molecule: long non-coding RNA, 1512 nt
Organism: Acanthopagrus latus (yellowfin seabream)
Lineage: Eukaryota; Metazoa; Chordata; Actinopteri; Spariformes; Sparidae
Exons: 4
Source: RefSeq, a predicted model, not a curated record